AGAGUUUGAUCCUGGCUCAGAACGAACGCUGGCGGCAGGCUUAACACAUGCAAGUUGAGCGGGAUUGAUUGGUAGCUUGCUAUUGAUCAUGAGAGCAGCGCACUGGUGAGUAACACGUGGGAAUAUACCUAUUGGUGGGGGAUAACAAUUGGAAACGAUUGCUAAUACCGCAUAAGCCCUGAGGGGGAAAGAUUUAUUGCCGAUAGAUUAGCCCGCGGAAGAUUAGGUAGUUGGUGGGGUAAUGGCCUACCAAGCCGACGAUCUAUAGCUGGUCUGAGAGGACGAUCAGCCACAUUGGAACUGAGACACGGUCCAGACUCCUACGGGAGGCAGCAGUGAGGAAUAUUGGGCAAUGGAGGCAACUCUGACCCAGCCAUGCCGCGUGAGUGAAGAAGGUUUUCGGAUUGUAAAGCUCUUUCGGACAGGAAGAUAAUGACGGUACUGUCUAAAGAAGCCCCGGCUAACUUCGUGCC
This 473-nucleotide ribosomal RNA is filed under the name uncultured bacterium. Its description in RNAcentral is "bacterial SSU rRNA". It matches the Rfam family "Bacterial small subunit ribosomal RNA", at positions 8 to 509 of the family's 1533-position model. The record is from RNAcentral.